GCCUGGGUGGCUCAGUCGGUUGAGCGUCCGACUUCGGCUCAGGUCAUGAUCUCGCGGUCCGUGAGUUCAAGCCCCGCAUCAGGCU
RNAcentral lists this transfer RNA (85 nucleotides) under Felis catus (domestic cat). It matches the Rfam family "tRNA". From Rfam's summary of the family: Transfer RNA (tRNA) molecules are approximately 80 nucleotides in length. The record is from Rfam by way of RNAcentral. RNAcentral also lists the same sequence under 1 other name. Lineage: Eukaryota; Metazoa; Chordata; Mammalia; Carnivora; Felidae.